Molecule: small nucleolar RNA, 111 nt
Filed under: Echinops telfairi (small Madagascar hedgehog)
Lineage: Eukaryota; Metazoa; Chordata; Mammalia; Afrosoricida; Tenrecidae
Source: RNAcentral
AACCUUUUAAAAGCACUCAUUGGGCCUUUUGCCAGUGACCCACUGAGCCGUCAGGAAGGGGGGACGCGCGGACAUCCGUGUGGUGGAGCUGCAUUCGGUGACGUGACUGAA